This 419-nucleotide ribosomal RNA is filed under the name uncultured bacterium. RNAcentral's name for it is "bacterial SSU rRNA". It matches the Rfam family "Bacterial small subunit ribosomal RNA", at positions 9 to 424 of the family's 1533-position model. The record is from RNAcentral.
GAGUUUGAUCAUGGCUCAGGAUAAACGCUGGCGGCGUGCCUAACACAUGCAAGUCGAACGCGCGCUUCUCGCAAGAGGGGCGUGAGUGGCGGGACGGGUGAGGAACACAUGGGGUACCUACCCUUGAGUGAGGGAUACCGGCGAGAAAUCGCCGACAAGCCCGCAUACGGUCUUUCUUGCUUGAGAGAGUGAGAGAGAAGAAAGUCGCGAGACGCUCGGGGAUGGGCCUGUGGCCGAUUAGCUAGCUGGUGGGGUAAGGGCUCACCAGGGCGACGAUCGGUAGCUGGUCUGAGAGGACGAUCAGCCACACUGGGAUUUGAGAACGGCCCAGACUCCUACGGGGGGCAGCAGUGAGGAAUUUUCCGCAAUGGUCGCAAGACUGACGGAGCAACGCCGCGUGCAGGAAGACGGCCUCGGUU